GCUUGCUCUGAGCCAGUCUGCACACAUGCAUUAUUAAUGCUUUGUUUGUUCUAACUCUCCAGCCCUGGUAGCACCUGGAGGAGUACGGAGAGCUGACUGGUUAGUGCCUGGGUCCAGAUGUCCAGAAAGAUGAUAACAGAGGGAGGCACAGACAUCCCACGGACGUGGAGACUACCUGGCCAGAGGGACGAGCUUGGGUGCUGGUGAUGGACUGUCUCAUUCUCGAUAACGGCGCUGGCUUGAGACAAGCUCAUUGAAAUGAAAGAAACUUCGACAUCAGAGCACUGGGAAAGCAUGUCUUCACUUUGGGAUGGAUAAUGAGGAGCUUCACACUCACAGAAGGACAAAGAACAAGGAAGCAUGAGAGCUUGGUGUGAGGUCUCUGCCUGUCCUGCCUAUGGCGAGGGAAAAAGAAAGCUGAACUGGAUGGAGCAUUUGAUUUAUCUUCCCAUUUGACAGGAGAUCAACAUCCUUCCCCUCCCCAGCCCCACGGUCCACCAGUGUGGCCCACUCAUGUCCACAGAGAAGCUGUCAGCAUUUUGCUUUCUUGCUUUCUAUCUCCAGCAUAAACUUGACUCAAC
Meriones unguiculatus (Mongolian gerbil) is the source of this 581-nucleotide long non-coding RNA. RefSeq lists it as uncharacterized. The transcript has 4 exons. The record is from RefSeq and is a predicted model, not a curated record. Lineage: Eukaryota; Metazoa; Chordata; Mammalia; Rodentia; Muridae.